RNAcentral lists this ribosomal RNA (468 nucleotides) under uncultured bacterium. RNAcentral's name for it is "partial 16S ribosomal RNA". It matches the Rfam family "Bacterial small subunit ribosomal RNA", at positions 28 to 507 of the family's 1533-position model. The record is from RNAcentral.
GAUGAACGCUGACAGAAUGCUUAACACAUGCAAGUCAACUUGAAUUUGGGUUUUUUAACUUAGAUUUGGGUGGCGGACGGGUGAGUAACGCGUAAAGAACUUGCCUCACAGCUAGGGACAACAUUUGGAAACGAAUGCUAAUACCUGAUAUUAUGAUUAUAAGGCAUCUUAGAAUUAUGAAAGCUAUAUGCGCUGUGAGAGAGCUUUGCGUCCCAUUAGCUAGUUGGAGAGGUAACGGCUCACCAAGGCGAUGAUGGGUAGCCGGCCUGAGAGGGUGAACGGCCACAAGGGGACUGAGACACGGCCCUUACUCUUACGGGAGGCAGAAGUGGGGAAUAUUGGACAAUGGACCAAGAGUCUGAUCCAGCAAUUCUGUGUGCACGAUGACGUUUUUCGGAAUGUAAAGUGCUUUCAGUUGGGAAGAAAAAAAUGACGGUACCAACAGAAGAAGUGACGGCUAAAUACGUG